AUGAACAGAAAAUCUUGCUGGGAAUUGUGUUUUGUAGAAGCAAGCACCCUCUGCAUAUUGCUAUAUUGUGAAGUUCUACAUCUCUGCACGUUUUCAAUUCCUCAGCACCUCCAACAGGCAGACAAAGAGGCUUCCAUCCUGCAGCCACCAAGAUCAACCCUGCUCCCAUCCCAACAAUGGGAAGGAGAGCACCAGUGCCUGGAUCAGCCCAGUGAUGCAUCCAGCAAGAAUUCCCUGCAGCAAAACCAUGGGCACCAUCUUCAGUGGCAGAGGUCUCCAGGCACAACCCACAGGACAGCCAGAAUGACUUCUGGAAAUUAUUUCUGCUUGCUCCACCUAACAAAGAAGAGAUCUCUCACUGCCAUCUCACAUCACUCCAGCAGCAGUCCAUGAAACAGGCUUCAAAUUUUGAUUCAGUUUCACAUUAACAUCCAAGUGCCUACCAGCUCUGCCUUCUGCAAAAACCUGAAGCUGAUGUGGCACUCUGGGAAAAUUACGGGACUAACACCCAAUACAUGCUCCCAACUCCACUGGAAAUCACAGGGAUUGCAGGAGCUCCGUUGGUGUUCCCUGGUGGUGGAUGGGGAAGGCAGAUCAACCAGCAAGACCACCUUCCUUUCUGAGAGUAUUGGCCCUACACCUAUAUGUAUGCCAUGGAAACUAGAUCCAGGGCACACAGGAUACUUUGUAAGGCUACACGAUGACAUAGUGCUUAAGGUUUUCUAAGUACUAUGCAUGCCAAAAUCAUCUAGGUUUUCUACUGCAUUUACUUUCAGACAAAUAGCUCCGUAAGUUCGUACAUCACGCUCUAUGUGUAUUUAUCUUUGAUUGUGUAAAUAACCAAAUUAAACUAUCUUUCCAUGAUGCUGUGUUUAAAUCUCGAUUUAAUCAGGAUAGCACUGAAUUCUCCUUAUGAGAGAACACCUCCAUAUUCCUCUGCCUUGUGAUUUCCUUUCAUUUUCCAUAGCCACACAAUUUCAUACCUUGCAGAGAAACAUCCUUUCCUGACAAUAAUCCUCUUUGCAAAUAGAAUUAACAAGGCAAAUGUAAACACUGUAGGAAUGAACUAGUUGUCAUAUUUACCGAAGCGACUGCUUCCAGUUCCAGAUAAUGAAAUUCUGUAUUAAAUACAUAGGAUGGCUUAAUGUCAAGUUCCUACUUUUCUAAAUUAGGCAGCUAGCCAGUAAGCACCCUGCAGCACCUCCCUCCAUCCCAUUUGAGAAAUUAUACUUAAGAGGUUUCCAAUAAAGGCUGAACUAAUUUGUGCCA
Molecule: long non-coding RNA, 1269 nt
Filed under: Phasianus colchicus (ring-necked pheasant)
Lineage: Eukaryota; Metazoa; Chordata; Aves; Galliformes; Phasianidae
Description: lncRNA (ENSPCLG00000001957.1)
Source: RNAcentral